Molecule: unclassified non-coding RNA, 150 nt
Filed under: uncultured fungus
Lineage: Eukaryota; Fungi
Description: sequence contains ITS1, 5.8S rRNA gene
Source: RNAcentral
CCGAGAUGUCAGCCUGGCUGACACCUUCACACUUUGUUAAUCGAAACGUUGCUUCGGCGGGACGCCGCAAGGCCGUCGGCGAAAGCGGGCGAGCGCCUGCCGAACUACCAACUCUGAUUACUUGCAGUCUGAUUAUCAUUCAAUGAAUAA